This 213-nucleotide long non-coding RNA is filed under the name Musa acuminata (dwarf banana). Its description in RNAcentral is "long non-coding RNA (MACU_LNC009629)". The record is from RNAcentral. Lineage: Eukaryota; Viridiplantae; Streptophyta; Magnoliopsida; Zingiberales; Musaceae.
UUUAAUUCAAUAAUAUAAAAUUUAAAGAAUUUCAUAACUCUUUUAGCAUCACACUCUAUCUUAUUUUUAGCACGCACUCAAAUGAAUGGAUAGACAAAAGUCACCAAUUAUGUUAUUAUGGAAGGACCGAUGCUAAAGGGAUUAACGAGCUUUCAAGUAUCAUCUAAAGCUAUCAAACAAUACCUAGAUAGUCCAACAAAAUAGUUAUUCACC